UUCUUAUCAAGAGAGGUGGAGGGAUUUGGCCCUAUGAAGCCUCAGCAACAGACUGCAAAGUACUGUGCUAAUUCCAAAAGCGUUCAAGCUUGAAGAUAAGAA
This is a regulatory RNA element of Planomicrobium sp., 102 nucleotides long. It matches the Rfam family "SAM riboswitch aptamer (S box leader)". Rfam says of the family: The SAM riboswitch is found upstream of a number of genes which code for proteins involved in methionine or cysteine biosynthesis in Gram-positive bacteria. The SAM riboswitch acts at the level of transcription termination control. The record is from Rfam. NCBI's taxonomy places the organism in Bacteria, Bacillati, Bacillota, Bacilli, Caryophanales, Caryophanaceae.